RNAcentral lists this ribosomal RNA (478 nucleotides) under uncultured bacterium. RNAcentral describes it as "partial 16S ribosomal RNA". It matches the Rfam family "Bacterial small subunit ribosomal RNA", at positions 28 to 523 of the family's 1533-position model. The record is from RNAcentral.
GACGAACGCUGGCGGCGUGCUUAACACAUGCAAGUCGAACGGUAAGGCCCUUCGGGGUACACGAGUGGCGAACGGGUGAGUAACACGUGGGUGAUCUGCCCUGCACUUCGGGAUAAGCCUGGGAAACUGGGUCUAAUACCGGAUAGGACCACUGCCUGCAUGGGUGGUGGUGGAAAGCUUUUGCGGUGUGGGAUGGGCCCGCGGCCUAUCAGGUUGUUGGUGGGGUGAUGGGCUACCAAGGCGACGACGGGUAGCCGGCCUGAGAGGGUGACCAGCCACACUGGGACUGAGAUACGGCCCAGACUCCUACGGGAGGCAGCAGUGGGGAAUAUUGCACAAUGGGCGCAAGCAUGAUGCAGCGACGCCGCGUGAGGGAUGACGGCCUUCGGGUUGUAAACCUCUUUCAGCACCGACGAAGCGCAAGUGACGGUAGGUGCAGAAGAAGGACCGGCCAACUACGUGCCAGCCGCCGCAGUAA